GGGCGCAGCUGAUCAGCAUGCCGCGUGAGUGAAGAAGGCCUUCGGGUUGUAAAGCCCUUUUGUUGGGGAAGAAAUCAAUCUGGCUAAUACCCGGGGGGGAUGACGGUACCCUAAGAAUAAGCACCGGGUAACUUCGUGCCAGCAGCCGCGGUAAUACGAAAGGUGCAAGCGUUAAUCGGAAUUACUGGGCGUAAAGCGUGCGUAGGGGGUCGUUUAAGUCCGUUGUGAAAGCCCUGGGCUCAACCUGGGAACUGCAAUGGAAACUGGGCGACUAGAGUGCGGGAGAGGGUAGCGGAAUUCCCGGUGUAGCAGUGAAAUGCGUAGAGAUCAGGAGGAACAUCCAUGGCGAAGGCAGCCACCUGGACCAACACUGACACUGAGGCACGAAAGCGUGGGGAGCAAACAGGAUUAGAUACCCUGGUAGUCCACGCCCUAAACGAUGCGAACUGGAUGUUGGGUGCAAUUUGGCACUCAGUGUCGAAGCUAACGCGAUAAGUUCGCCGCCUGGGGAGUACGGUCGCAAGACUGAAACUCAAAUGAAAUUGACG
Molecule: ribosomal RNA, 548 nt
Filed under: uncultured bacterium
Lineage: Bacteria
Description: bacterial SSU rRNA
Rfam family: Bacterial small subunit ribosomal RNA
Source: RNAcentral